UCCCUAUGGGGUGCAGCAGGCGCGAAAACUUUACAAUGCGGGAAACCGCGAUAAGGGGAUACUGAGUGCCAGCAUCUUAUGUUGGCUGUCCACCUGUAUAAACAACAGGUGUUAGCAAGGGCCGGGCAAGACCGGUGCCAGCCGCCGCGGUAACACCGGCGGCCCGAGUGGUGACCACUAUUAUUGGGUCUAAAGGGUCCGUAGCAGGUUUGAUCAGUCUUCCGGGAAAUCUGACAGCUCAACUGUUAGGCUUCCGGGGGAUACUGUCAGACUUGGGACCGGGAGAGGUAAGAGGUACUACAGGGGUAGAAGUGAAAUCUUGUAAUCCUUGUGGGACCACCAGUGGCGAAGGCGUCUUACCAGAACGGGUCCGACGGUGAGGGACGAAAGCUGGGGGCACGAACCGGAUUAGAUACCCGGGUAGUCCCAGCUGUAAACGAUGCUCGCUAGGUGUCUGGGACGGUGCGACCGUUUCAGGUGCCGCAGGGAAGCCGUGAAGCGAGCCACCUGGGAAGUACGGCCGCAAGGCUGAAACUUAAAGGAAUUGGCGGGGGAGCACUACAACGGGUGGAGCCUGCGGUUUAAUUGGAUUCAACGCCGGGA
Molecule: ribosomal RNA, 603 nt
Filed under: uncultured archaeon
Lineage: Archaea
Description: bacterial SSU rRNA
Rfam family: Archaeal small subunit ribosomal RNA
Source: RNAcentral